Non-coding RNA from Equus caballus (horse), 494 nucleotides. The record is from RefSeq and is a predicted model, not a curated record. NCBI's taxonomy places the organism in Eukaryota, Metazoa, Chordata, Mammalia, Perissodactyla, Equidae.
CUGAGUUCCCAGCACCCAAUCAUCACUGCAGCAAGUCAGUCUCCUUUAAGCCUGGAUGACAAGAGAAGAGGUCCAAAUCUAAGGAUUUCACUUACUCCCUCCUCUGCAGACCAUGCAGGUUUGGGUUUUCUCUUAGGAGGAUGUCAAGGUCUGAAAUGAUCUCAAACAUCUGUCAUAUAAACAGGAAGAGAUUUAUUAUCUUCUGCCAAAGGACUAUGAUAACAGAAAUAUUAAAUGUGUCAACAGAGGACACCUGAGGAAUUGAUCCUUGAUUGAAUCUUCCUGUUAAAGAGACUUCCGGAGCGGGGCAUCUCCGAACUGAGAUGGUCUGCAUUCACCAACUCUUCUCUUCUGCGACCACAUGCAUCCCAAGUGGGUAGCACCUGGGAUAUUUGCAAGCUGUGCCUUGAAAACAAAAGCCCUCCACUACAUUGUUGCCAUGCAUGUUGCAUUGUUGCCUAUUCUGUACUCUUUCUUAAAGCUAAGCAAAUGUG